Apodemus sylvaticus (European woodmouse) is the source of this 414-nucleotide long non-coding RNA. RefSeq lists it as uncharacterized. Lineage: Eukaryota; Metazoa; Chordata; Mammalia; Rodentia; Muridae. The record is from RefSeq and is a predicted model, not a curated record. The transcript has 3 exons.
CAUCACUGAGGGCUGCCAAGGCGCACUGCCUUCAGGAGAGAGAACACAGAGUGAGCCCAGCACCGUACCUUUAACCCUACCACAGGCAGGGGAGGGGACAGCCCUGCGUCUCCUCCCUUUUCAGACAUCAGCUCGUGACUCUCAUCUGCUGUGCCCCCGGCUGCCAGGUUUUCUGAACGCUACUUUCCUUGGUUGUCUUAUCAGGACCCCCGUCACUCUGCCAUGUUGUGACUCCUAAAUGUCAUGCGUGGUCUAUGAUCACCAGGGGUAGCCUGGAGUAGACACAGAGGACCUCUACGCCACGUGACAGUCCCCGACGCGUCCUGGGCCUUCUUCAUUGUUUGGGAGGAAAAACUCAAAAGAUUUGUAUGUCUUGACCAUGUUCCGGCGAUACUGACCGACGUUGAAUUCUGA